This 395-nucleotide ribosomal RNA is filed under the name uncultured Leptolinea sp. Its description in RNAcentral is "bacterial SSU rRNA". It matches the Rfam family "Bacterial small subunit ribosomal RNA", at positions 971 to 1382 of the family's 1533-position model. Lineage: Bacteria; Bacillati; Chloroflexota; Anaerolineae; Anaerolineales; Anaerolineaceae. The record is from RNAcentral.
UUACCAGGGUUUGACGAUGCAAGUGGUAGGAACCGAAAGGCGACGACCUUCGGGAGCUUGCACAGGUGCUGCAUGGCUGUCGUCAGCUCGUGUCGUGAGAUGUUCGGUUAAGUCCGCUAACGAGCGCAACCCUCGCUGUGUGUUACAAGUGUCACACGGGUACUGCCGGUCUUAAGCCGGAGGAAGUGGGGAUGACGUCAAGUCAGCAUGGCCUUUAUGUCCUGGGCUACACACACGCUACAAUGGCCAACACAAUAGGUUGCUAAGCCGCGAGGUGGAGCCAAUCCUCAAAGUUGGUCUCAGUUCAGAUUGCAGGCUGCAACCCGCCUGCAUGAAGUUGGAGUUGCUAGUAAACGCAGGUCAGCCAUACUGCGUUGAAUACGUUCCCGGGGCUU